Molecule: transfer RNA, 77 nt
Filed under: Pyrinomonadaceae bacterium
Lineage: Bacteria; Pseudomonadati; Acidobacteriota; Blastocatellia; Blastocatellales; Pyrinomonadaceae
Description: tRNA-His
Rfam family: tRNA
About the family: Transfer RNA (tRNA) molecules are approximately 80 nucleotides in length.
Source: RNAcentral
GCGGCUAUAGUUCAGUUGGUUAGAACGCCUGAUUGUGGUUCAGGAGGUCGAGGGUUCGAGUCCCUCUAGCCGCCCCA